Molecule: ribosomal RNA, 444 nt
Filed under: uncultured bacterium
Lineage: Bacteria
Description: partial 16S ribosomal RNA
Rfam family: Bacterial small subunit ribosomal RNA
Source: RNAcentral
GUGAGGAAUAUUGGUCAAUGGGCGAGAGCCUGAACCAGCCAAGUCGCGUGAAGGAAGAAGGAUCUAUGGUUCGUAAACUUCUUUUGCAGGGGAAUAAAGUGCAGGACGUGUCCUGUUUUGUAUGUACCCUGAGAAUAAGGAUCGGCUAACUCCGUGCCAGCAGCCGCGGUAAUACGGAGGAUCCGAGCGUUAUCCGGAUUUAUUGGGUUUAAAGGGUGCGUAGGUGGUUUGAUAAGUCAGCGGUGAAAGUUUGCAGCUUAACUGUAAAAAUGCCGUUGAAACUGUCGGACUUGAGUGUAAAUGAGGUAGGCGGAAUGCGUGGUGUAGCGGUGAAAUGCAUAGAUAUCACGCAGAACUCCGAUUGCGAAGGCAGCUUACUAAGCUACAACUGACACUGAAGCACGAAAGCGUGGGGAUCAAACAGGAUUAGAAACCCCUUAGUCC